Molecule: long non-coding RNA, 2362 nt
Organism: Spinacia oleracea (spinach)
Lineage: Eukaryota; Viridiplantae; Streptophyta; Magnoliopsida; Caryophyllales; Amaranthaceae
Exons: 2
Source: RefSeq, a predicted model, not a curated record
CUUUAAAAAGUGGGAGUAAAAUCACUGUAGCUUAUCUAUAGUAAACAUAAAAACGCUUCGUUUCCUUUUUCCCUAUCAUUCGCACUUCUCUGGUCUCUCCCCUCAAAUAUCCCUUUUUCCGCCAUGGAUGGAGAGUGGAGACACCCAGCAAGCAACCUCACAUCGUCGCCAACUCAUCCUGAAUUUUCUUCUGGGGUGAUGAACUUUGUUGGAGACAAUUACACUCAGCUCAUAAGCUGCUAAUUGAUUCUUCCUUCUUGGUAAUUUCAAUUCCAGUAGAUCCAACAAGAAACCUUUGUCUUAAAAUCUGCAAAUUGAAUUUAACAUGGGUCAGAUUCAUGAUAAGUUCAUGUAAAUGUACUAUAAAUUUUAGAGCUUUACACUCAUAAAAGAGCUUGUACAAAAAUUCUUGAUGGCCAAGUUCAAGGCCAUGUCAGGCCAAGGAGGGGGUUUGGUAAUAGUUUUUAACCAGAAAUUGACGCACCUCGGUUAUUACUCACUAGCUUGAUUUUCCUUUUUAUCUCUAUCGCUCUAUAAUAUAUGCUUUUAUAAGUUUUAUGGCCUUUUUUGUGCAUUAUUUUGACAUCUUGUAUAUCUGCUCCUCACAUGCUUCUUGUGUACUUAUGAAUUUGUGCAUUUCUGUAAAAGCAUUCAAGAAUUGCUAAAGUUGCUGCUAUAAAACUUCAAAGCCUUGACCAUAUAUAAUGUUGUUUGGUUUUAUUGUUGUGAUGAUCUUGCUGCAAAGUCCUUGUGAAUGUUAAAUUUGUAAAUUCAAAUUUAUAUAUUUGCUUUUUGGUUGUUUUGUUAACUUAGUUGGUUUGCUAAUUAAUUUGUUAUUUGAGCUCGGCGGGAGUGUGAAGUCUCUGUCAGGGUUCUCCAAUAAAAUUCAUAUUUCAUUUUGGGUUGGAUCGAUAAAAUAAACUUUGUUUUCAGUACUAAUUCGUACAACUCUUCUCCUAAAUACUUGUGUUAAACCCAAAUGGGAAUUUAGAAGGGACCUAGGAAGUAGUAAGUAGGAUCACAGCCCCUAUAAUCUUGCCACCAUAUUACCAUGGUUACAGUAUCAGGUAGUUAAUGCAAGUGGGUUUAGAACCUAUGAAACGCAUUGCAAUUGUAAGUUUGUAACAUCAAGUUAAUAUGUAGUGUCAGAGUUUUGAUUGUUGUUAAAUGGUGGUUAAUGAGUUAUAGAAAUGAGAGGAAACAUGAAGUAAUUACUUUAAAUAACUAAUUGGUCAGGAUCCUAGCUAGAUAUUUUUCAAAUAAGAAUAAUACUAUUUCAUGAACUGGUCAUUACUUUUAAUUUGUCUUGUUAUUUUUUUUUUGUUAUUUUUAAUCUGUCUUGUUCUUAAUUUUGCAGAUUUUGUGAUUAUUUGAUAGAUUUUAAUAAGAGAACUAGAUUAUGGCAGUAACUAUCUCAACCUUCUUUUUGUUUUGGAGAUUUUAUGAUUGUAUAAUUUGGUGCUUAAUUAGAACUAUGCUAUUUCUUUCAGAAUUCCAACCACUGAGCUUCCAAGUGUAUGUAUGAUUUAGAAUUUUUAGAUUCUUAUGGUGCUCUUAAAGUUUGCUCUACAUUCUACAAUUCCCGUCAGAGUAGAUAAGAGAAAUAAGUACGGAAUUCAUAAACUACGUAUAAUUUAUUUGAAUUUCUCAAAGUUAAUCGUUUUGGGGGACUUUCUCUUAUGUUGAUAUGCAAUCAGUACGUGUAUAGAACAAUCUAUCAGGAAGAUUUCUUAAUUAGUAAAAAUCAAGAAGGAAGUCAAGCUUGUGUCAGUUUAUAUAUGUUCUUAUUGUAUCUAAUUUUAUAAAGAGAUGAUGGAGUAUUAAAUGAUGAGGUUAUGGGAUUCUUUGCUUAAAUUAUUCCUAAUAAAAAGAAAUCAUGUAAGACAUGUCUAUCAUACUAGAUUUAUAUAUCACUUUUGUCAAGGGACAAAUAUAGAAUAAAAACAAUUGUGUUCUUUUUGUUGAUAAAAAAAAGGAAAAACAAAAUUGAAUGUGUGUUUUUGAACUUCAUAUCUUAUCAUUUAUGGAGUGGCUUACAGACUUACAGUGCUUUAAGACCAAGUUCUCUUCUUAGAACUUCUAGGUUGGCUAGAAAGUUUAUGAAGAACAGGUCCUAGAAGAAAUUACAUGAAUCUAUUGUUUGUUGCCAACUUUCACAUUUUACCUCUAAAUUUUGCUAAAAAUAUUAUGUAUCACAUAUUGUUAUCAGGACUUGUAUGAUCCAUCACAUAAACUAAGAUAGAUGUCAAGUAUAUUUUACUUGUAUAUUGCAUUUCCUACUAUUAAGGAGCUAUAUUUAGUUACGUUGAUUAGAGUUAAUGUAUGGUUUACUAAUUCGGAUCUUGUAAUUAGUUCCUUGAGA